RNAcentral lists this ribosomal RNA (254 nucleotides) under uncultured prokaryote. RNAcentral describes it as "partial 16S ribosomal RNA". It matches the Rfam family "Bacterial small subunit ribosomal RNA", at positions 524 to 776 of the family's 1533-position model. The record is from RNAcentral.
UACGUAGGGAGCAAGCGUUGUUCGGAUUUACUGGGCGUAAAGGGCGCGUAGGCGGCAAAUUAAGUCAGCUGUGAAAUCUCCGAGCUUAACUCGGAACUGUCAGCUGAUACUGAUCUGCUUGAGUGCGGAAGGGGCAAUCGGAAUUCUUGGUGUAGCGGUGAAAUGCGUAGAUAUCAAGAGGAACACCUGAGGUGAAGACGGGUUGCUGGGCCGACACUGACGCUGACAGCGCGAAAGCCAGGGGAGCAAACGGG